RNAcentral lists this ribosomal RNA (497 nucleotides) under uncultured bacterium. Its description in RNAcentral is "partial 16S ribosomal RNA". It matches the Rfam family "Bacterial small subunit ribosomal RNA", at positions 28 to 507 of the family's 1533-position model. The record is from RNAcentral.
GAUGAACGCUGGCGGCGUGCCUAAUACAUGCAAGUCGAGCGAACGGACGAGAAGCUUGCUUCUCUGAUGUUAGCGGCGGACGGGUGAGUAACACGUGGAUAACCUACCUAUAAGACUGGGAUAACUUCGGGAAACCGGAGCUAAUACCGGAUAAGAUUUUGAACCGCAUGGUUCAAAAGUGAAAGACGGUCUUGCUGUCACUUAUAGAUGGAUCCGCGCUGCAUUAGCUAGUUGGUAAGGUAACGGCUUACCAAGGCAACGAUGCAUAGCCGACCUGAGAGGGUGAUCGGCCACACUGGAACUGAGACACGGUCCAGACUCCUACGGGAGGCAGCAGUAGGGAAUCUUCCGCAAUGGGCGAAAGCCUGACGGAGCAACGCCGCGUGAGUGAUGAAGGUCUUCGGAUCGUAAAACUCUGUUAUUAGGGAAGAACAUAUGUGUAAGUAACUGUGCACAUCUUGACGGUACCUAAUCAGAAAGCCACGGCUAACUACGUG